CGUAUAGCUAAAUGGUAUAGCCCUUAUUAAUCACAUGAGUAUCGUGGGUUCGAUCCCCACUACG
Molecule: transfer RNA, 64 nt
Filed under: Strongylocentrotus purpuratus (purple sea urchin)
Lineage: Eukaryota; Metazoa; Echinodermata; Echinoidea; Camarodonta; Strongylocentrotidae
Rfam family: tRNA
About the family: Transfer RNA (tRNA) molecules are approximately 80 nucleotides in length. Their secondary structure includes four short double-helical elements and three loops (D, anti-codon, and T loops). Further hydrogen bonds mediate the characteristic L-shaped molecular structure. tRNAs have two regions of fundamental functional importance: the anti-codon, which is responsible for specific mRNA codon recognition, and the 3' end, to which the tRNAs corresponding amino acid is attached (by aminoacyl-tRNA synthetases). tRNAs cope with the degeneracy of the genetic code in two manners: having more than one tRNA (with a specific anti-codon) for a particular amino acid; and 'wobble' base-pairing, i.e. permitting non-standard base-pairing at the 3rd anti-codon position.
Source: Rfam by way of RNAcentral